GAUGAAGAACGCAGCGAAAUGCGAUAAGUAAUGUGAAUUGCAGAAUUCAGUGAAUCAUCGAAUCUUUGAACGCACAUUGCGCCCGCCAGUAUUCUGGCGGGCAUGCCUGUUCGAGCGUCAUUACAACCCUCAGGCCCCCGGGCCUGGCGUUGGGGAUCGGCGGAAGCUCCCUGUGGGCACACGCCGUCCCUCAAAUACAGUGGCGGUCCCGCCGCAGCUUCCAUUGCGUAGUAGCUAACACCUCGCAACUGGAGAGCGGCGCGGCCAUGCCGUAAAACACCCAACUUCUGAAUGUUGACCUCGAAUCAGGUAGGAAUACCCGCUGAACUUAAGCAUAUCAAUAAGCGGAGGA
This 352-nucleotide unclassified non-coding RNA is filed under the name soil metagenome. RNAcentral's name for it is "partial contains 5.8S ribosomal RNA, internal transcribed spacer 2, and large subunit ribosomal RNA". The stretch from base 1 to 120 matches the Rfam family "5.8S ribosomal RNA", at positions 35 to 154 of the family's 154-position model. The record is from RNAcentral.